GAUGAACGCUAGCUACAGGCUUAACACAUGCAAGUCGAGGGGUAACGAGAGGAAAGCUUGCUUUCCUUGUCGACGACCGGCGCACGGGUGAGUAACGCGUAUCCAACCUGCCCCCAACUAAGGAAUAACCUUGCGAAAGUAAGCCUAAUACCUUAUAAUUUCCUCAGAUGACAUCUGACGAGGAAUAAAGAUUUAUCGGUUGUGGAUGGGGAUGCGUCUGAUUAGCUUGUUGGCGGGGUAACGGCCCACCAAGGCAACGAUCAGUAGGGGUUCUGAGAGGAAGGUCACCCACAUUGGAACUGGGACACGGUCCAAACUCCUACGGGAGGCAGCAGUGAGGAAUAUUGGUCAAUGGGCGGAAGCCUGAACCAGCCAAGUAGCGUGCAGGAUGACGGCCCUAUGGGUUGUAAACUGCUUUUAUACAGGAAUAAAGUUAGCCACGUGUGGUUAUUUGUAGGUACUGUAUGAAUAAGGACCGGCUAAUUCCGUGCCAGCCGCCGCCGUAA
Molecule: ribosomal RNA, 506 nt
Filed under: uncultured bacterium
Lineage: Bacteria
Description: partial 16S ribosomal RNA
Rfam family: Bacterial small subunit ribosomal RNA
Source: RNAcentral